CUCCUCGCUGUUCCUCAAGAACAAGAGCCGUGUGAGGAGUUCUGAGAUUGACAGCUGUAAAAAAGGAAAAAGAAAAUGAAACGCAGUGCUGACUCAUUGACCAAAAUUUGAGUUGUGAGAUUUGAAACGAGGACUGAUAUCGGAAAACUGUCUUUGAAAUUACAAAUCACAACUGAUUAAAAAAAAAAAAAAGAAAGAAAAGAAAAGGAAAGAAAAAAGAAAAGAAAGAAUGGAAGAACAAGUCCAGGAUACACAAUCACUAUGACAUGUGGCCCCUGCCUGGGAGAAGAGCCAGAGGGGUUAUUAUUAUUCUCAUGCUAUAGACAAGGCAAGCAAAGCUCAGAGGAGUGAAGGAGUAAGUGGAGGAGCUGAGCGUCCACUCUGCUCUACAAUGACUUUCCUGAAAACAGGCUUCUUCAGAGGAUCUGAAUGGUCAUCACCCAGAGCUGGAACGAUCACUUGGUGAGUCCACCAGUCUCAUCUCUUGGUCACUCAGUUACUCACUUCUUGGCUCAUUGGUCAUGAUAGACAGAAUAAUGCCCUCCUCACCGAAGAUGGCCAUGUCUUAAUCCUCGGAACCAUACAUAUGUUGCGUGGCAAAGGGAAAUUAAGCUUGCAGGUAGAAUUAAGGUUGCUAACCAGCAACCCUUAAUAUAGAUGAUUAUCCGGGAUUACCCAGGUGGGCCCAAUAUAAUCACAAGGGUCUUUAAAAGUGGAAGCAGGAGGAGAAGAAGAGUCAGUCAGUGUCAGAGAGACAUGAUGUGAGACUCACCCUGCCAAUGCCGGCCUUGAAGAUACAAGGAGCCAAGAGCCAAGAAAUGCAGACAGCCUCUAGGAGCUAGAGAAGAUAAGGAAACAGUUUCUCCCCUAGAACUUCCAGGAAGAAAUACAUCCCUGUUGACAUCUUGAUUUUAGCCCAGGGAGUCUAUCAUCAGACUUCUGACCUCCAGGAUGUGACCAGCUUUUGUAAAGUUAUGGAAGAGUUAAGGUGUCAAGAGCAUGGUGUCCUUUGGAUCUACUGCUGUUGUUCUGCAUAGAUGGACUCAAACACAGGAUCACUGGCUCCUAGAAAGUCACCAAUUGUUGAGCCAAAAGAUUUUCCAACCCUGAUCCACAGAGUCAUGGGUAUUAGAGAGGCUUCAUAGCCAAGCAUAGAGGAUGGAACUAUAUCAUUCACUGGGCUUCUAUAUAAGAUUUUACUUGCAAGAAGACUUUUCCUGCUGAAUAAGAAGUUUGAAAGCCACCUAGUCCAAAUCACUAACUUUCGAGAUGAGGAAAUCAAGGAACAGAUAUGGUUACUUGCCUCCAAGCAGGCUCCAGAAUUCUUGUCAUCUGUCUUCUUUUUUUCCCUACAAGGAUAAUAAAACCACUUGGUUGACUUAAAAGGUCUUUUGGCCAAAGGACGUGGUAACACGUGGAUCAGCUUUACCAUGAGAGCAUUUCCGCUUGCCUAGUACAGCAUGUCAUGUUCACAGCUGCAGCCGUCAUAGGAAAAUGGAGUCCUUUAUAUCCUGUUAAACCACUGGAGAGAGAUUUUAGGGGUCUAUGUGAGAAGUGGGACAUAGGAGAGAGUUGAAACAUCCAAGAAGCCCCCUGACCCAAAGGAGGAGCUCCAACACUGCAACCAGAGGACGUAUGACAGAUUCCACUCCACCACAUGUCUUCAUGAGAAGAGGCAAUACCAAGAAAUGCAAGCAGGCACCCAGCAACCCAGAGGCACGACAACAAGUGGGAGGAGCCACUGCAAAAAAAUGGAACAGGAAAAACAAAGAGCACAGCCGCAGUCCUGAGGCAGGCUGGAAUUUAAGUUCUUUGGAAGACAGAUGUAUCCAAUUCAGCCUGGGGUUCAAAGACCAUAACAUACUGAACACUCUGAAGUGCUGGGGGUGUUCAGGAGUCUGAUUUCUGGGUGGAUGUGUUGGAACUCCUCACCAGCUACAGGAUGGCCGAGAACUGCAAAUAUUCCUGCUAAGAUUCAGGCAGCUGGAAGUUCAGCUGGCGUUUACGUGAGCUGAAAGGAGAGAUCAAGACCACGUCCAGAAUCAGCUAAAACCCGUCAAAGCAGUGUGGGCAACGGGCAGAGACGGGGAGAGAGAAGGCUCUGGAUUGUGCUUGCCUUUGCCAGAGCAGCCCAGAAUCUUCCAGCAGCCUGUCUUUUCCAAUUGUAAAUGAUUUCCUUGUGAUGGUUAUUGGGAGAUGAUUCCACACUUGUGGGUCUUCUGCCUUUGCAUGUUCUGCCACUUAAUUUCUUUCAUUUUGCAUAGUUACUUGUCAUCAC
RNAcentral lists this long non-coding RNA (2278 nucleotides) under Equus caballus (horse). RNAcentral's name for it is "lncRNA (ENSECAG00000039517.3)". Lineage: Eukaryota; Metazoa; Chordata; Mammalia; Perissodactyla; Equidae. The record is from RNAcentral.